CCUACGGGAGGCAGCAGUGAGGAAUAUUGGUCAAUGGGCGAGAGCCUGAACCAGCCAAGUCGCGUGAAGGAUGAAGGAUCUAUGGUUUGUAAACUUCUUUUAUAAAGGAAUAAAGUGAGGCACGUGUGCCUUUUUGUAUGUACUUUAUGAAUAAGGAUCGGCUAACUCCGUGCCAGCAGCCGCGGUAAUACGGAGGAUCCGAGCGUUAUCCGGAUUUAUUGGGUUUAAAGGGAGCGUAGAUGGGUUGUUAAGUCAGUUGUGAAAGUUUGCGGCUCAACCGUAAAAUUGCAAUUGAUACUGGCAGCCUUGAGUACAGUUGAGGUAGGCGGAAUUCGUGGUGUAGCGGUGAAAUGCUUAGAUAUCACGAAGAACUCCGAUUGCGAAGGCAGCUUACUAAACUGCCACUGACAUUGAUGCUCGAAAGUGUGGGUAUCAAACAGGAUUAGAUACCCGAGUAGUC
Molecule: ribosomal RNA, 460 nt
Filed under: uncultured bacterium
Lineage: Bacteria
Description: partial 16S ribosomal RNA
Rfam family: Bacterial small subunit ribosomal RNA
Source: RNAcentral